CAGUUAUUAGUAAAUACUGAUUUAUUAUUUGGCUUGUGAUUCAAGACAGAUUGAUUACUCGAAUGCAAAUGGCCUUCAUGGGGGAUUACUGUUGAUGUCUCUUGUCUGAUGUGUAGUGAUGGAAUUGAUAAAAUUAAUCAUUUAUUUGUGGGAUGUCAAUAUGUGAAGCAGAUCAGGGAUUAUUGUUUGGGAAAGAAGGUUGUUUGCUCUGACCGGUAGAAAAAUAUCUUGAGUGCAGCUAAUGAACACUCUGACUGUUCAGCAAACUCAGAAAGUUUUAGAUUGAUGUGGAAAGCAAUUUACAGUAACAUAUGGUAUGAAAGAUAUAGGAGGAAUGCAGGUGAAUGUCAUACUUUGGCUAUAGAUACAACAAGAAAGAUUUGUAGGGAGGUGAAAAUUGUAAAUAGUUAAUAGUGAAUAGGUAGUUGCUUGUUUCUUGUGAACAGAUCCUUAUUUGGAUUUUUUGGGCGGG
Molecule: long non-coding RNA, 472 nt
Filed under: Linum usitatissimum (flax)
Lineage: Eukaryota; Viridiplantae; Streptophyta; Magnoliopsida; Malpighiales; Linaceae
Description: long non-coding RNA (LUSI_LNC005562)
Source: RNAcentral